RNAcentral lists this ribosomal RNA (253 nucleotides) under uncultured bacterium. Its description in RNAcentral is "partial 16S ribosomal RNA". It matches the Rfam family "Bacterial small subunit ribosomal RNA", at positions 524 to 776 of the family's 1533-position model. The record is from RNAcentral.
UACGGAGGGGGCUAGCGUUGUUCGGAAUUACUGGGCGUAAAGCGCGCGUAGGCGGCUUUGUAAGUCAGAGGUGAAAUCCCGGGGCUCAACUCCGGAACUGCCUUUGAAACUGCAUCGCUUGAAUCCGGGAGAGGUGAGUGGAAUUCCGAGUGUAGAGGUGAAAUUCGUAGAUAUUCGGAAGAACACCAGUGGCGAAGGCGGCUCACUGGACCGGCAUUGACGCUGAGGUGCGAAAGCGUAGGGAGCAAACAGG